CAAUGGGCGCAAGCCUGAUGCAGCGACGCCGCGUGAGGGAUGACGGCCUUCGGGUUGUAAACCUCUUUCAGCAGGGACGAAGCGCAAGUGACGGUACCUGUAGAAGAAGGACCGGCCAACUACGUGCCAGCAGCCGCGGUAAUACGUAGGGUCCGAGCGUUGUCCGGAAUUACUGGGCGUAAAGAGCUCGUAGGUGGUUUGUCGCGUUGUUCGUGAAAACUCACAGCUCAACUGUGGGCGUGCGGGCGAUACGGGCAGACUUGAGUACUGCAGGGGAGACUGGAAUUCCUGGUGUAGCGGUGGAAUGCGCAGAUAUCAGGAGGAACACCGGUGGCGAAGGCGGGUCUCUGGGCAGUAACUGACGCUGAGGAGCGAAAGCGUGGGGAGCGAACAGGAUUAGAUACCCUGGUAGUCCACGCCGUAAACGGUGGGUACUAGGUGUGGGUUUCCUUCCUUGGGAUCCGUGCCGUAGCUAACGCAUUAAGUACCCCGCCUGGGGAGUACGGCCGCAAGGCUA
RNAcentral lists this ribosomal RNA (517 nucleotides) under uncultured Actinomycetes bacterium. Its description in RNAcentral is "bacterial SSU rRNA". It matches the Rfam family "Bacterial small subunit ribosomal RNA", at positions 369 to 896 of the family's 1533-position model. Lineage: Bacteria; Bacillati; Actinomycetota; Actinomycetes. The record is from RNAcentral.